Molecule: ribosomal RNA, 253 nt
Filed under: uncultured bacterium
Lineage: Bacteria
Description: partial 16S ribosomal RNA
Rfam family: Bacterial small subunit ribosomal RNA
Source: RNAcentral
UACGGAGGGUGCGAGCGUUAAUCGGAAUUAUUGGGCGUAAAGGGUACGUAGGCGGGUGUAUAAGGUGACUGUGAAAGACCUGGGCUCAACCUGGGUUGGACGGUUAAGACUGUAUAUCUGGAGUAUAGGAGAGGGUAGUGGAAUUUCCGGUGUAGCGGUGAAAUGCGUAGAGAUCGGAAGGAACACCGGUGGCGAAGGCGGCUACCUGGCCUGAUACUGACGCUGAGGUACGAAAGCGUGGGGAGCAAACAGG